RNAcentral lists this ribosomal RNA (484 nucleotides) under uncultured bacterium. Its description in RNAcentral is "bacterial SSU rRNA". It matches the Rfam family "Bacterial small subunit ribosomal RNA", at positions 32 to 524 of the family's 1533-position model. The record is from RNAcentral.
AAUCAACGCUGGCGGCGUGCCUCAGACAUGCAAGUCGAACGAUUAAAGCUCUCUUCGGAGAGUGUAUAGAGUGGCGCACGGGUGAGUAACACGUAAGUAAUCUGCCUUUGAGUGGGGAAUAACCCGGGGAACCCGAGCUAAUACCGCAUAAUGCAGCGGCACCGCAAGGUGACAGUUGUUAAAGCGAGUAAUCGCGCUUAAAGAGGAGCUUGCGGCAGAUUAGCUAGUUGGUAAGGUAACGGCUUACCAAGGCUACGAUCUGUAUCCGGUCUAAGAGGACGGUCGGACACACUGACACUGAAUAACGGGUCAGACUCCUACGGGAGGCAGCAGUCGGGAAUUUUGGGCAAUGGGCGAAAGCCUGACCCAGCAACGCCGCGUGAAGGAUGAAGUAUUUCGGUAUGUAAACUUCGAAAGAAUAGAAGAAUAAAUGACGGUACUAUUUAUAAGGUCCGGCUAACUACGUGGCAGCAGCCGCAGUAAU